CCAAUAGCGUAUAUUAAAGUUGUUGCAGUUAAAAAGCUCGUAGUUGAAUUUCGGGGUUAGUAAGUUGGUCAUGCCUUUGGUAUGCACUGGCUUUACUGAUUCCUCCUUCUUGACGAACCGUGAUGUCAUUAAUUUGGUGUUGCGGGAAAUCAGGACUGUUACUUUGAAAAAAUUAGAGUGUUUAAAGCAGGCUAACGCUUGAAUACAUUAGCAUGGAAUAAUGCAAUAGGACGUUAAUCCUAUUUUGUUGGUUUCUAGGAUCGACGUAAUGAUUAAUAGGGAUAGUUGGGGGCAUUAGUAUUCAAUUGUCAGAGGUGAAAUUCUUGGAUUUAUUGAAGACUAACUACUGCGAAAGCAUUUGCCAAGGAUGUUUUCAUUAAUCAAGAACGAAAGUUAGGGGAUCGAAGACGAUCAGAUACCGUCGUAGUCUUAACCAUAAACUAUGCCGACUAGGGAUCGGAUGAUGUUAAUUCUUUAAUGACUCAUUCGGCGCCUUACG
Molecule: ribosomal RNA, 499 nt
Filed under: uncultured Glomeromycotina
Lineage: Eukaryota; Fungi; Glomeromycota
Description: partial small subunit ribosomal RNA
Rfam family: Eukaryotic small subunit ribosomal RNA
Source: RNAcentral